UGGGGAAUUUUGGAGAAUGGGGGAAACCCUGAUCCAGCCAUCCCGCGUGUGCGAUGAAGGCCUUCGGGUUGUAAAGCACUUUUGGCAGGAAAGAAACGUCAUGGGUUAAUACCCCGUGAAACUGACGGUACCUGCAGAAUAAGCACCGGCUAACUACGUGCCAGCAGCCGCGGUAAUACGUAGGGUGCAAGCGUUAAUCGGAAUUACUGGGCGUAAAGCGUGCGCAGGCGGUUCGGAAAGAAAGAUGUGAAAUCCCAGAGCUCAACUUUGGAACUGCAUUUUUAACUACCGGGCUAGAGUGUGUCAGAGGGAGGUGGAAUUCCGCGUGUAGCAGUGAAAUGCGUAGAUAUGCGGAGGAACACCGAUGGCGAAGGCAGCCUCCUGGGAUAACACUGACGCUCAUGCACGAAAGCGUGGGGAGCAAACAGG
This 429-nucleotide ribosomal RNA is filed under the name Acidobacteriota bacterium. RNAcentral's name for it is "Acidobacteria bacterium partial 16S ribosomal RNA". It matches the Rfam family "Bacterial small subunit ribosomal RNA", at positions 355 to 776 of the family's 1533-position model. The record is from RNAcentral. Lineage: Bacteria; Pseudomonadati; Acidobacteriota.